AGCCUUUGAUUAGAUGACACCCCUCCCUGAAUGAUUGAAGGAAUCCUUUGUGACCCCGUCAACGAAUGGCAGCAACGUGUCCACCGGAAGGGAGAGGAGACACCGAGGGAUACGCUUAUGGGUGAGGCAUGGCUUGCACCACCACUGCAUUCUUUUGCCUCUUCUACGAAACCUCUUCUGCGUUCCAACGCUUUCUCCUUCUCGCAAGGAGGGCUUGCCAACAAAGGGAGAGCGAGAGAGCAAUGCGCUACUGUCGAUUAAGGGGAGGAAGAAGGAUGAUAAUUCGUACGAUGCCAACCACGAUGGUCUAUAAUAAUAAUUCCGCACCCAACACCAACCAAAAUGGUACGCUCUGAGUUAAUGGGUGAAGCGUCCAUGUCCCGUGAUAAAAACUCUCUAUCUAGUCUUUGAUGUAUUCCUCUUCUUUCACCAGCACAUGUUAAGAGAAUUUACUCUCGUCCACCCUAACGAGAUGAUCCAAUCUUGCUAUAUAUGCCUUGCCUGCAUUCCUCGAGAGAAAGUAAUUGUUGUACUCAUCUCUUUAAAUCAAAGUUUCAUGCAUACAUCCCUGCAAAGCUUAUGAACUCAUUCUCUCAUAGUCAAAAUGGUUUUGUCAAUACACCUUAAAAACAGUUAUGAUGGCAUUAUAAUCUAUACAUAUAUAAUGAUAACAUUUUUUCCUGCUCGAAGUGGGCAAGAAUAAUGAAGAUGGUAAAAAGCACACAUUUAAGGCUCUGUCGGUGGCUCACAGUCCUAAAACAAAGGCUACAGCCUAAAGGGUUGCUUAGAGUUUUAGCUUCUAUAUGCAAUCCAUAAUAUAGCACAUAAAUAGAUUUGUGAGGGUCCAUUUGUCAUGCUUUUUCCAGUCAGAUGUGGAUUCUCAAACAUGUAGUAGGGUUCGACUUCCAUUUCCCACUCAAUCAUGGCAUCUGAUACCACGGAGAGACUGUGUUCUUCGGUCAUACAGUACAGUGUCGUCUUUACAGAUCCAUCCUAUGAGGCUACACCAACUAAAAAAAGAGGGUGAAGAAAUAUCUCUUGGGAGAUUUAUGUCAACAUCCCUAACGUGAUCAAUCAGCUGCCAUGAGUUUGCUUCUUCAAGGUCACACCAGGCGUCUCAAUGUGACUUCUUUUUCUUUCUCUUCUGCUUGUGGGGGAGUUCGCAUGUCACAUCUGCAAGUUCUCCUUGUCAAAAGCCACAUCAAAAUGAAGUUUGUUUUGACCUUCUUUCUUGAAGAAGUUGAUGAAUCGUCAAUGGUCUAUCGCAAGUGCAGAUGUUCACGAGGGAAGAUAAGAUGUUCUUAUGAUCUCGAGGCUAUAUAAAAAUACAUAUAUGAUCUCAAGGCUAUAUAUAAAUACAUAUGUAAAACCUUAACAAUACCUAUCUAUCUAUACAUAAUCUUUCCUAGAGAUAUUUGUCUAUCAAUCUGAAAAAAAAAAAGAAUUUUAUAACUUAAUAUUAAUUUCAUAAUUUAAUCGUCAUUUACCAAGUAUUUCAUUAUAAAUGUAAAUUUCGACAUAGAAAUUAUAAUAUCCUAGUUAGUCCCAGGACAAAAUUAAGAUUGACUUAUAAGGGUCUAACGAGUAUACUAUUAUCAACUUUAACCUAAGCAUUUUAGCCAAUGAUUUGAGCUAAUCAAAGUUGAUAGAUCAGUUAGCUCAUCAAGUUUGGAUCGUGAUACUUGGUAUCAAAGUCGAUUUAGUAUUUAGACAUGGUGAGGGAGCUCGAGUAGGAAAAAACUAUUCGUAAAUAGAGUCAAAGGACUCAUCACGUCGUGAAGCCACAAUUAGACUACGACUCAUAUGCAUCAUACAUGGUUUGAUCUAGAUUAUGCUAUAACUUGACGAGGACGUCAAGCCAAAAAAAUUAUAAUAUCUCGAUUAGAGCUUGAGUAGAAAAUGAUACCUAGAAAUAUUAUAAUAUAAUAUUUAAGAAUAAUUACUAAAAUGAGAACUCAAAAGAAUAUAUUUUUGUAUUUUUCAUUUGAUAUUAUUAUGAUGGCUAUGUAUGAAAAAUAAAAAAAAUAUUUAAAGAAAAAUGACAUAAUGGAAGAAAUGAUAAAGAAUGAGGCGCUUGAUUGCAUUUAAAGAAAUGGUGGUAUAGGUGAGGUGAAAGUAAUAGAAGAUAUAACCUUUUUUUCUUCCAAGAUAUCAUUUUCACAAAAGGAAUAUUUUUUACUUGGGAUAAUUUUCACAUUCUACUGGCAAUUCAUGUUGACAAAUAAGCUGGAAUUUGCUGUAUAUUCUACAAAUCUCAUUGCAGGGAUGUGAUGGAGACUCACAGUCUGCAAGCCUUGCAGCAAUGUAAAAGGGAGACCAGUUUAGUUUUGGGAGGAAGAGAACCUGUAGAUUGAGUUUGAUGAGCCUUUCACACCCAUCCAAAACAAUCUUGUUUGCCACCCCUUCACAGAAUGAAUUCCUUUUCAGAUGUUAAUGUUGUUGUAGACAGGCAAAGUGUCAUGUGUUCUAUUCCAAUCAUUUAUGUGCAUGUACUUGUCAUUUCUCUUUUAUAUAUUGAAGCCAUUUUCUUGAGUCAAAAUCUUUGAAAUCAUAAUAAUUAUCCUUCAAUGGAGGUUUUCUUAUUAUCAUCAUCCUUCAUGUCAGAAAAACAAAAACAAAA
Molecule: long non-coding RNA, 2620 nt
Filed under: Musa acuminata (dwarf banana)
Lineage: Eukaryota; Viridiplantae; Streptophyta; Magnoliopsida; Zingiberales; Musaceae
Description: long non-coding RNA (MACU_LNC002437)
Source: RNAcentral